AUAAAUAAAAUAAAAUAAAUUUAUUUAUUUUCCAGGAGUUGGUUGGUUAAUUUAUUGAAGAGCAAGAUAAUAAACGAAGAAAUAAUAGAGUGAGAAAUCAGAUAUAAUAUGUAGACAGGAAUGAUUAUUAUCAUAUGAAGAAUAAUUUGUCUUGAUGUGUUGAAACACACUUGAACAAUUCAAUAUGUCUUUUAAUCUAUUAAUCUGGUAUUCGUAUCUUAGGGUAAUGGGGAAUGCGGUGUCUUGAGAUUCAAGCUCUUAUAAGAGGCAAGCAUCUCCCAUCGAAUCAGACCUCAAGAUAAAGAAUAAGAGAAGAAUUGGCCAGAGCUGCCCAGAUACUGAGUAGAGUUGGCAUUCGGCAUACGAAGGACUAGCAUAUCCGAGGAAGAAACACGGCGGGAGAGGCGGUGAGAAACAACCAAAGGUAGAGAAGAUAUCGUGCCGGUUAGUGCCCCGCCCCGGCUUCAGGGUCGUCUUAAUUACCGGGUGGUCCAGUUCGGAACCCCAUAAAUAUUUGGUUGCCUUGGCGGCACUCUUUCCUUCGAGUCGAGACCCCAGGACUCCUGGGAGACCACGAGAUUUCUUCUUCUUCUUUAUAUUCUUCUUCUUCUUCUUCUUCUCGAAGUUUCCUCUCGAGAACAAGUGGGCCCAAGAGAGAGAGAGAGAGAGAGAGAAAGAGAGAAAGUCAAUAAGAAGAGGAGUAUAUAAAAUGAGAGAGUAAAUAUAAAGAUGUACAGUAAACUCGAUAAUUCGAUGCUCGUGUAGGCUUUUUCACAGACCAAGACUCUUCUCUUGUAUAUAAUUCCAUCAGAUUGAGGCCUCUUUGUAUUUAGAGUUACACCGCUCUGCCUCCUGACGAAUAACCGGAUGACCGUCCAACUCUUUUAAGUAACAUUCUACUCAGUUAUGUUAGGGAGCCAGAAAGUCUACCGAAGGUAGUCAUUUAGAUGAAUCGUCGGUUUGGUCAAUGUGGGAAAGAGACAAGUGAGGAUGAGGUUAUGCUCAAGUGGAAGAGGAUAUCUUAUAUUGUCUCUACGUGCAGAUAAGGACAGCGGCUUGUCAAGAGCUGCCCACAAAAACAAGAGGAUUAGUCAUUUUUUGAAUCAUCGGGCAGGUAUAUGGAGAGAUAACAAGGAUGCUCAUCCUAAAACUCAACAUCCUAUCCACGUCACCCAGAUUUACAAAUUGACCGGCCUCCUACGCCAACUAUGCGCAUAGCGCUCUGCAUAUUCGACAGAAUGUUUAAUGCUUUCGGCGUGACUCAUCCGCCGGGACAUCUCUAUUAUCUGGUCAUCUGAGCAUGGGAUAUUGUGGAAGUAUGGAAUCCAUUAGCAAGUGCACGUGAUAUCUUGUGAAGUACAGAAUUGGUGAAUUAUAAUUUCAGGCUUUUACGGUCCGCCCACAUACGAAGCCUAAAACAAUGGCCAUUACUACCAAUUUUCGAUGAGCUGUCAUCAACCACCCACGGGUAUACGACGAGGGAGCUAGGGCACUAUCAUUUGUGUGGUCUGCCAGCCGGAUUUGUGUUGAACCUCUGUUUCGAUUUCGCCAAAGUCUGAAAAUGUGCUCGACAGAGAGGAGAAUAGUUGAGGGCAUAAGAGCAAAAAAUCUAUGUAUAUGUAUAAUAUAAUACUAAGUGAGUGAGAUUGACGACUAAAAGAAGAAAGAGACCACCUUCGUAGAAGCCACUUACUCUCGCGAGAACAGAGAGAACAUUAUUUAUUCUAUCUCACUUGGUUUUAUAUUUCGAAAUUCUCUCUACUCCUCGGACGAAGUUAACUCUAUACACUCAUCGGUAUACCGCGGAUUAUCUUGUGUAUUAUUAUGUUUGUAUUAUAGUUCGAGUAAAGAGAGAGUGGAGUCAUGUGAUAACAAGAGAUGUUAAUUCCCACCAAGCCUUGCUGAUCAGAGAACUCUCAAGUACGCUCCCGAGUUUCCAGGCACCUGAUGGCUCAUUAUGCAAGUUAUAAUUAUGUAAUCAUUCUUUUAUUGUGCAGAAGUAUAUUUUUAUGAGUAGUCCUUCUGGAAUGAUGCACUGGUUUGGUUUUAACUGGUGAUUUAUUACGAUCUGGUUCAAACUUGUCAGCUAUUUUUCAUUUUAUCUUUAGAGAGUAAUUAUCCACAACUGGAUUAUACUGUAAUACGUAAGCUUCUGAGAAGAGAAUAAUUUAAAAUAUUCAAUAAAAACCAUAAAACCAGCUGGUAUUGUAUAUAUAAUGGGAGAUGGGAGUAUAUACGUGGGUAAUAAAUACAGCGAUAUAUCUAACCAGUAUAAGUACGGGCACCCUCACCUGUUCUCAUCUGCAGCUGCAUUUGAUGACCGAUAUCUUCUUGACAAAUUAUUAUCAUCUCCCGGAAACUCGUUUCUUCUCAAUUAAACGUGACGAUGAGAGUUUUAUUCCCGAUCCUCGAGUUUUAUUUUUAAUUCCCGUGAGUAUGUAAUGCUAAUUCAUUUUAUAAUUAUAUACUUAUUAAUCAAGUAGGGAGCCAGAUGAAGAAUGAUGAUGAUGAUACUCGUAUACUUAUGCUGACAUUCGAUAGAAGCCGAUACGAGGUAAACAAGUAUUCUCUACAGUCCAGAGAGUACUUUCGGUACGCGGCAGACAGCGCGUCGCCCAAUCUCCUGACUUGUUCAUAUUCUCACUACUUCUUGUGUAUUAGAGCUCGAGAUAUAAUACCAGUUACAUCAACUCCCGUCGAUUCAAUUGUACCAAUGUAUUAUUAUGUUAAUGCCUUUUUAUUUAAUUUAUCGCGUUACAGCAUCUAGAAUUGAAUUCUUGGAAAUAGU
Molecule: long non-coding RNA, 2788 nt
Filed under: Cotesia glomerata
Lineage: Eukaryota; Metazoa; Arthropoda; Insecta; Hymenoptera; Braconidae
Description: uncharacterized LOC123267289, transcript variant X3
Source: RNAcentral